This 548-nucleotide ribosomal RNA is filed under the name uncultured Glomeromycotina. Its description in RNAcentral is "SSU rRNA". It matches the Rfam family "Eukaryotic small subunit ribosomal RNA", at positions 548 to 1098 of the family's 1831-position model. The record is from RNAcentral. Lineage: Eukaryota; Fungi; Glomeromycota.
UUGGAGGGCAAGUCUGGUGCCAGCAGCCGCGGUAAUUCCAGCUCCAAUAGCGUAUAUUAAAGUUGUUGCAGUUAAAAAGCUCGUAGUUGAAUUUCGGGGUUAGUAAGUUGGUCAUGCCUUUGGUAUGCACUGGCUUUACUGAUUCCUCCUUCUUGACGAACCGUGAUGUCAUUAAUUUGGUGUUGCGGGAAAUCAGGACUGUUACUUUGAAAAAAUUAGAGUGUUUAAAGCAGGCUAACGCUUGAAUACAUUAGCAUGGAAUAAUGAAAUAGGACGUUAAUCCUAUUUUGUUGGUUUCUAGGAUCGACGUAAUGAUUAAUAGGGAUAGCUGGGGGCAUUAGUAUUCAAUUGUCAGAGGUGAAAUUCUUGGAUUUAUUGAAGACUAACUACUGCGAAAGCAUUUGCCAAGGAUGUUUUCAUUAAUCAAGAACGAAAGUUAGGGGAUCGAAGACGAUCAGAUACCGUCGUAGUCUUAACCAUAAACUAUGCCGACUAGGGAUCGGAUGAUGUUAAUUCUUUAAUGACUCAUUCGGCGCCUUACGGGAAAC